This 159-nucleotide ribosomal RNA is filed under the name Lasiodiplodia theobromae. RNAcentral's name for it is "5.8S ribisomal RNA". The stretch from base 29 to 159 matches the Rfam family "5.8S ribosomal RNA", at positions 1 to 131 of the family's 154-position model. From Rfam's summary of the family: 5.8S ribosomal RNA (5.8S rRNA) is a component of the large subunit of the eukaryotic ribosome. It is transcribed by RNA polymerase I as part of the 45S precursor that also contains 18S and 28S rRNA. The record is from RNAcentral. Lineage: Eukaryota; Fungi; Ascomycota; Dothideomycetes; Botryosphaeriales; Botryosphaeriaceae.
ACGUCUGAUAAACAAGUUAAUAAACUAAAACUUUCAACAACGGAUCUCUUGGUUCUGGCAUCGAUGAAGAACGCAGCGAAAUGCGAUAAGUAAUGUGAAUUGCAGAAUUCAGUGAAUCAUCGAAUCUUUGAACGCACAUUGCGCCCCUUGGUAUUCCGG